RNAcentral lists this ribosomal RNA (650 nucleotides) under Brachybacterium paraconglomeratum. RNAcentral describes it as "bacterial SSU rRNA". It matches the Rfam family "Bacterial small subunit ribosomal RNA", at positions 84 to 748 of the family's 1533-position model. The record is from RNAcentral. Lineage: Bacteria; Bacillati; Actinomycetota; Actinomycetes; Micrococcales; Dermabacteraceae.
CCGCCUGAUUAGUGGCGAACGGGUGAGUAACACGUGAGUAACCUGCCCUCCACUUCGGGAUAACCUCGGGAAAUCGUGGCUAAUACCGGAUAUGAGCACUCAUCGCAUGGUGGGUGUUGGAAAGAUUUAUCGGUGGGGGAUGGACUCGCGGCCUAUCAGUUUGUUGGUGAGGUGAUGGCUCACCAAGACGAUGACGGGUAGCCGGCCUGAGAGGGCGACCGGCCACACUGGGACUGAGACACGGCCCAGACUCCUACGGGAGGCAGCAGUGGGGAAUAUUGCACAAUGGGCGAAAGCCUGAUGCAGCGACGCCGCGUGGGGGAUGACGGCCUUCGGGUUGUAAACCCCUUUCAGUAGGGAAGAAGCGAGAGUGACGGUACCUGCAGAAGAAGCGCCGGCUAACUACGUGCCAGCAGCCGCGGUAAUACGUAGGGCGCAAGCGUUGUCCGGAAUUAUUGGGCGUAAAGAGCUUGUAGGUGGCUUGUCGCGUCUGCCGUGAAAACCCGAGGCUCAACCUCGGGCGUGCGGUGGGUACGGGCAGGCUAGAGUGUGGUAGGGGAGACUGGAACUCCUGGUGUAGCGGUGAAAUGCGCAGAUAUCAGGAAGAACACCGAUGGCGAAGGCAGGUCUCUGGGCCAUUACUGACACUG